AAUACAAUAACUGAAAUGAAAAAUUCACUAGAGGGGCUCAAAAUCAGUUUUGGGCAGGCAGAAGAAAGAAUCAAUGAACUUGAAGAUAGAUCAAAUGAGAUUAUACAAUUUGAGGGGGAAAAAAACACUGGGGAAAAGUUUCAUGACAUUAGGUUUGGCAAUGAUUUCUUGAACAUAGCACAUAAAAACACAAACAAAAGAAAAAUAAACAAGUUGGACUUCCUCUAAUUAAGUCUUUCGUGCAUCAAAAGACACUCUCAACAAACUGAAAAGGCAACCUAGGGAAUGGAGAAAAUAUGUGCAAAUCUUUUGUCUGAUAAGGGGUUAACAGCUAGAAUAUAUAAAGAAGUAUACUCAACAACAAAAACAACUCCAUUCAAAUAUGAGCAAAAGAUUUGAAUAGACAUUUCUCCAAAGAAUAUACACAGAUGGUCAAUAAGCACAUGAAAAGAUUCUCAACAUAACCAAAAAUCAGAGAAAUGCACAUUAAAACCACAAGAAGAUACCACUUUAUACCCAUUAAGAUGGCUACUAUUUUUUUAAUAACACACAGAAAAUAACAAGUAUUGGAGAGAUGUAGAAAAAUUGGAACCUUCAUACACUGGUGGUGGGAAUGUGAAAUGGUGCAGCUGCUAUGGAUAACAGUGUGUCGGGUCCUCAAUAAAUUAAACACUGAAUUAGUAUCUGAUCCAGCAAUUCUACUUCUGGGAUAUGCCCAGGAGAGCUGAAAGUAGAGAUUCGGAUAUUUGAACAUGAAUGUUCAGAGAUACAUGAUUCACAACAGAUAAAAGUUGAAAACAACCCAAAUGUCCAUAAGUAAUAUACAGUUAUUCCACUGCAUAUACUUUAAAAACUGGAUGAAAUUCUGACAAAUACCAUGACAUAGAUAAGCCUUGAAGACGUUAUACUAAGGGAAAUAAACCAGACACAAAAGAACAAAUGUUGCAUAAUGUUAACUUAUAUAAGCAGUCAAAUUCACAAAGACGGUUACCAUGGGCUUCAGGGAGUGGGCAGUGAACUGUAUCCAGCCCCUAACACAGUAAGAUGCUACUUCCUGGGGUCUGUUUACAUAUUUUUUC
RNAcentral lists this long non-coding RNA (1079 nucleotides) under Marmota monax (woodchuck). The record is from RNAcentral. Lineage: Eukaryota; Metazoa; Chordata; Mammalia; Rodentia; Sciuridae.